CAGUUAGAUAUGUCCCAGAAAGUAGAGAGUUUGAAACUUUGCCUAGUCCAAGGUUUAUAAACAUAGUCAUAGUCAAUGCCCUGCAAUGAGGAAAAAAAUUAUAAAAGUACAUCCCACCAAAGAUAACAUACAAACAUGCACACCUGAAUUAGCUUUUGGAAAAAAAAAAUAUGGACCAGAUAAAAAUUCACAGUCAAACAAUUUAUGCAUGCAAAAAACAUAGCCUCUCUAGAUUUUUAAGUCUCAAUCUCUUCUUGAAGCUAACAUUCUGCCUAGUUGUGAAUUACUCACUCUCUAGGCUCUUGAAAGGAAAUUAUGUCAGACAGUAGUGAUUUUCCAGUCAUUUCAGUUGCAUGAAUAUUUCUCUGCCACUAUUUAUUGAGAAAGCACCUGGUCCAAGGCCAUCUUCUGCGGACACCUCCCAAGAUGUACAAUCUUCUUCUCUGGCUAUUUUUCAUCAGAAUAUUCUUACGUUAGAAUCUGCAGGAGUCAGAAUCUCAAUGUACCAUCGUCUGAUGCAGUAGUCUUGUUUUCCUGUGACACUCAGCCCCCAUGUUCCAUUUGCUCCUGGGUCAUCCUCUUGCAUCAUGAGAUACUUUCUCUAGCUAACUUUUCUGCCUUAAUUUGGGGCCAAACUAAAAUCACUGACCAAUGGCUUGGAAGCAGAAAUUUCUGUGAGGCUGCAUCAAGUCUGUUUGCCUAGAUGGCUUAUAUAGUCAUUGUGAUGUGAGUGUUCCAGAACCAUGCUGGGCCCAUGGUUUCAUCAGUGGGCUUGCUGUUCCCUGGACCUCCAGUUGAGAAACAGGCCCAAGACCCUCUACGUUAAGGUUUCCCAAAGUUUACAGGGAGUUUUAAUCCUAACUCCAUGUCUAUGUAAGAGGACAAAGAGCCCCUUCUCAGGCAUGAAAAAUUCUGAAUCUCUCUAGAAAUUCUGUUAUUGGUCUCCCUCUCCCAUCCCUGGGAACUCAUACAUAUCCCUGGACUACAGGAUGUCAGAAAUGGAGGGUUCUACCUUCUUCCACUUUAGGCUAGGACUUCUUGUGAAUAUUCACAAAGUGCUUUCACUCAACACUAAUUUUUAUGGCCAAGAAAUACAUAUGUUGAAGUCUUAAACCCCAGUACCUCAGAAUGUAACUAUAUUUGGAGAUAGAGUCUUAAAAAAGGUAAUUAAGAUUAAAUGAAGUUGCAUGGGUAGGCCCUAAUCCAGUCUGACUGGUGUCAUUAUAAGAGAAGAUCUGGACCCACAGAGAUACCAUGGAUGCACAGGCAUAGAGAAAAGGCCAUGUGGGGACAUAGUGAGAAGGCAGCCAUCUACAAGCCAAGGAGAGAGGCCUCAGGAGAAACCAAACUUGCCAACACCUUGAUCUUGGACUUCCUGCCUCCAGAACCGUUUAUGGAAGCCCCAGUCCACACUAGACAGAGUGAUCGGGUCUGCUGGUACAGUUUCUGCUAGCAGGGGCCUUACCCUCCAGUUUAAAAGAUAGGAGAGGAGAAGAGACACUCUGAGGCAGCCGAACCUGCAGAAUGCCAUGUGAAGACAAAGGCAGACACUGGAGUAGUGUCUACCAGCCAAGGCAUGUCAACGGUUUCCAGCAACACCAGAAGCUGAGAGAAGAGACUUGUACUUAUUGCUUGGAAUUCUAAUGGAAUAGAAAAAAUAGAAUUUUCUGUACUUGGGGAAGAGAUGGACCGGUCAGCAGGCAUGGUCUGACCUGUGCUUAAAGGACUCAGGAUAAACACAG
This 1742-nucleotide long non-coding RNA is filed under the name Equus caballus (horse). RNAcentral's name for it is "lncRNA (ENSECAG00000054071.1)". The record is from RNAcentral. Lineage: Eukaryota; Metazoa; Chordata; Mammalia; Perissodactyla; Equidae.